AAGAUUAAGCCAUGCAUGUCUAAGUACAUGCCGCAUUAAGGCGAAACCGCGAAUGGCUCAUUAAAUCAGUUACGGUUCCUUAGAUGUUGACCUAUCCUACAUGGAUAACUGUGGUAAUUCUAGAGCUAAUACAUGCACAAAAGCCGAAACUUGAGCGUGCGAGCAAUCGUACGUGCGGGAAUCGGUGCACUUAUUAGACCAAGACCAAUUGCUGCUGCGUUCACGCGUAGCAGUAAAAACGUGUUAUGGUGACUCUGGAUAAUUGAUGCUGAUCGCAUGGCCACGCGCCGGCGACGAAUCUUUCAAGUGUCUGCCUUAUCAACUGUCGAUGGUGGGUUACAUGCCUACCAUGGUUGUAACGGGUAACGGGGAAUCAGGGUUCGAUUCCGGAGAGGGAGCCUGAGAAACGGCUACCACAUCCAAGGAAGGCAGCAGGCGCGCAAAUUACUCACUCCCAGCACGGGGAAGUAGUGACGAAAAAUAACAAUACCGGACUCUUUUGAGGACCGGUAAUUGGAAUGAGAACAAUUUAAAUCCUUUAACGAGGAUCAAUUGGAGGGCAAGUCUGGUGCCAGCAGCCGCGGUAAUUCCAGCUCCAAUAGCGUAUAUUAAAGUUGUUGCGGGUGAAAAGCUCGUAGUUGGAUCUCUUCUCCGUGUCAGGUGGUCCACUCAACUGGUGGCUACUGCUCUGGCCGAGACGCUACGCUUUAUCGUUGCCGUUGUGGCGGUGCCCUUAAUCGGGUGCCGUCACCGCACGAUAGGUUUACUUUGAAAAAAUUAGAGUGCUCAAAGCAGGCGCACGCAUCCUCGCCGCAAGGUGGGGUCUGUCGCACGAAUAAUGUUGCAUGGAAUAAUGGAAUAUGACUGCGUGUCAGCUAUUCUGUUGGUCUUACUGUACGCACGCGGUAAUGAUUAAGAGGAACAGACGGGGGCACUGGUAUUGCGGCGCUAGAGGUGAAAUUCUUGGACCGCUGCAAGACCAACUACAGCGAAAGCAUUUGCCAAGAAUGUUUUCAUUAAUCAAGAACGAAAGUUAGAGGUUCGAAGGCGAUCAGAUACCGCCCUAGUUCUAACCAUAAACGAUGCCAACCAGCGAUCCGCCUGAGUUCUGCUUUUAAUCGACUCGGCGGGCAGCUUUCGGAAACCCAAAGUUUUUCGGUUCCGGGGGAAGUAUGGUUGCAAAGCUGAAACUUAAAGGAAUUGACGGAAGGGCACCACCAGGAGUGGAGCCUGCGGCUUAAUUUGACUCAACACGGGGAAACUCACCCGGCCCGGACACUGGAAGGAUUGACAGAUUGAGAGCUCUUUCUUGAUUCAGUGGGUGGUGGUGCAUGGCCGUUCUUAGUUGGUGGAGUGAUUUGUCUGGUUAAUUCCGAUAACGAACGAGACUCUAGCCUACUAAAUAGUACUGCGAGUUCUUGGAUGUUACUGUAGUGUGUGCCAUUCCUAGUGGAUGGUAACUGCUGCUGUAUACAACGAGACCACCUUUGCAGUUGACUUCUUAGAGGGACUGGCGGCGUUUCAGCCGCACGAAACAGAGCAAUAACAGGUCUGUGAUGCCCUUAGAUGUCCGGGGCCGCACGCGCGCUACACUGAAAAGAUCAGCGUGCUUGUGAUUUCAACCUGCUAUGAAACGUAGCAGGAAACCCCCUGAACCUUUUUCGUGAUUGGGAUAGGGGCUUGUAAUUGUUGCCCUUGAACGAGGAAUUCCCAGUAAAUGCGAUUCAUCCAGAUCGCGUUGAUUACGUCCCUGCCCUUUGUACACACCGCCCGUCGCUACUACCGAUUGAAUGAUUGGGUGAGCUUUUUGGAGUGUUUGCUAGGUGUUGGUAGCCUCGGUUGCUAACGCUCUGCAGAUGCAAAGAUACGCAAACUCGAUCAUUUAGAGGAAGUAAAAGUCGUAA
RNAcentral lists this ribosomal RNA (1904 nucleotides) under Nanorchestes sp. AD1283. RNAcentral's name for it is "SSU rRNA". It matches the Rfam family "Eukaryotic small subunit ribosomal RNA". Lineage: Eukaryota; Metazoa; Arthropoda; Arachnida; Sarcoptiformes; Nanorchestidae. The record is from RNAcentral.